Bufo bufo (common toad) is the source of this 112-nucleotide long non-coding RNA. RefSeq lists it as uncharacterized. Lineage: Eukaryota; Metazoa; Chordata; Amphibia; Anura; Bufonidae. The record is from RefSeq and is a predicted model, not a curated record. The transcript has 3 exons.
UGCAGUUGCACCUGGGGGCUCUGCUCUCUCAGCAACUGCCGCGCCUUCUGCACUUUGGUAGAACCAGGCAGUGUAAACGUCAUCACACCUGGCCUCAUCAAUCAAAGUGCAG